GCUGUUAAGGGUUCGUAGUUGAACUGUGGGUUGACAAGGGAGUUGUCGGCUAAGUCCCUUUCUCCGGUCGGCGACCGCCACACUUGCGACCCGUGAACAGUUGAAACAGAAAUCGCGGGUUGUUAUUCCCUUUCCCAAUUACGCAUGGAACGCAUGCAAGCGGAGGGACGCCCGUGAUUUACUGUGACCAAAGAAGCGUGACCAAAGCAGUCAAAUCGACUUGAAUUAGCAAGCGUGGGUAACAAAGGAGCAACCUUGAGGCUACCGAUUCGGCUUUUGUUGGUUUUAAAGGCCUCUGGGGAUUAUGGGCUCGCACGACAAGCCCCUUGAAGCGACUCCUUCGGAGCUUCGACUUCAGGUUUGGCCUUCCCCUCCUUUCAGCCUCCUCUGGAGGUCGGGUGUGGGACUUGUGUGGUCCGGAAUGAAGGAGGGUUGUUCGGGGGAGAACGUACCUGGGCGUGAGAGGUGAAAUUCUUGACCGCUCAAAGACGAACUACAGCGAAGGCAUUCACCAAGGAUACCUUCCUCAAUCAGAACUAAAGUG
Molecule: ribosomal RNA, 544 nt
Filed under: uncultured kinetoplastid
Lineage: Eukaryota; Euglenozoa; Kinetoplastea
Description: bacterial SSU rRNA
Rfam family: Eukaryotic small subunit ribosomal RNA
Source: RNAcentral